AUUGAACGCUGGCGGCAUGCUUUACACAUGCAAGUCGAACGGUAACAGGCCGCAAGGUGCUGACGAGUGGCGAACGGGUGAGUAAUGCAUCGGAACGUGCCCAGUCGUGGGGGAUAACUACUCGAAAGAGUAGCUAAUACCGCAUACGAUCUAUGGAUGAAAGCGGGGGACCGUAAGGCCUCGCGCGAUUGGAGCGGCCGAUGUCAGAUUAGGUAGUUGGUGGGGUAAAGGCUCACCAAGCCAACGAUCUGUAGCUGGUCUGAGAGGACGACCAGCCACACUGGGACUGAGACACGGCCCAGACUCCUACGGGAGGCAGCAGUGGGGAAUUUUGGACAUUGGGCGCAAGCCUGAUCCAGCAAUGCCGCGUGCAGGAAGAAGGCCUUCGGGUUGUAAACUGCUUUUGUACGGAACGAAACGGCUCUGGUUAAUACCCGGGGCUAAUGACGGUACCGUAAGAAUAAGCACCGGCUAACUACGUG
This 482-nucleotide ribosomal RNA is filed under the name uncultured bacterium. RNAcentral describes it as "partial 16S ribosomal RNA". It matches the Rfam family "Bacterial small subunit ribosomal RNA", at positions 30 to 507 of the family's 1533-position model. The record is from RNAcentral.